RNAcentral lists this ribosomal RNA (412 nucleotides) under uncultured bacterium. RNAcentral's name for it is "bacterial SSU rRNA". It matches the Rfam family "Bacterial small subunit ribosomal RNA", at positions 64 to 507 of the family's 1533-position model. The record is from RNAcentral.
GAACGAGAAAGUGGAGCAAUCCAUGAGUAAAGUGGCGACCGGNGUGAGUAACACGUGACUAACCUACCUCCGAGUGGGGAAUAACUCCGGGAAACCGGGGCUAAUACCGCAUAACAUCGCAAGAUCAAAGCAGCAAUGCGCUUGGAGAGGGGGUCGCGGCUGAUUAGCUCGUUGGCGGGGUAACGGCCCACCAAGGCGAAGAUCGGUAUCCGGCCUGAGAGGGCGCACGGACACACUGGAACUGAAACACGGUCCAGACUCCUACGGGAGGCAGCAGUGGGGAAUUUUGCGCAAUGGGGGAAACCCUGACGCAGCAACGCCGCGUGGAGGAUGAAGCCCUUUGGGGCGUAAACUCCUUUCGACUCGGACGAUAAUGACGGUACGAGUGGAAGAAGCACCGGCUAACUCUGUG